RNAcentral lists this ribosomal RNA (440 nucleotides) under uncultured bacterium. RNAcentral's name for it is "partial 16S ribosomal RNA". It matches the Rfam family "Bacterial small subunit ribosomal RNA", at positions 338 to 795 of the family's 1533-position model. The record is from RNAcentral.
CCUACGGGAGGCAGCAGUGGGGAAUAUUGCACAAUGGGGGCAACCCUGAUGCAGCGAAGCCGCGUGAGCGAUGAAGUUUCUAGGUAUGUAAAGCUCUAUCAGCCGGGGAGAAAAUGACGGUACCUGUCUCAGACGCACCGGCUAACUACAGGACAGCAGCCCGCGUAACACGUCGGGGGCAAGCGUUAUCCGGAUUUACUGGGGUUUAAGGGAGUGUAGUCGGCGGUGCAAGGCAGAUGUGAAAGCGCGGAGCCAAACCCCCUGACAGCAGUUGAAACUGUGCUGCUAGAGUGUAGGAGAGGCAGGCGGAAUGCCUAGUGUAGCGGUGAAAUGCUUAGAUAUCACGAAGAACUCCGAUUGCGAAGGCAGCAUACCAACCCGCCACUGACGCUGAUGCACGAAAGUGUGGGUAUCAAACAGGAUUAGAUACCCUAGUAGUC